Molecule: ribosomal RNA, 2049 nt
Filed under: freshwater sediment metagenome
Description: bacterial LSU rRNA
Rfam family: Bacterial large subunit ribosomal RNA
Source: RNAcentral
AGUGCAUAUGGUGGAUGCCUUGGCGAUUACAGGCGAUGAAAGACGUGAUAGCCUGCGUAAAGUUUCGGGGAGCUGGCAAAUAAGCUUUGAUCCGGAGAUGUCUGAAUGGGGAAACCUACCCUGCAAAGGGUAUCGCAUAGUGAAUACAUAGCUAUGCGAGGCGAACCGGGUGAACUGAAACAUCUCAGUAGCUCGAGGAAAAGACAUCAACCGAGAUUCCGAAAGUAGUGGCGAGCGAAAUCGGAAGAGCCUGUUAGUGAUAGCACAAGACUUAACGGAAUAACCUGGAAAGGUUAACUAUAGGGGGUGAUAGUCCCGUACGUGAAAAGACCUGUGUGAUACUAAGCUAACGACAAGUAGGGCGGGACACGUGUAAUCCUGUCUGAAUAUGGGGGGACCAUCCUCCAAGGCUAAAUACUCAUCAUUGACCGAUAGUGAACUAGUACCGUGAGGGAAAGGCGAAAAGAACCCCGGGAGGGGAGUGAAAUAGAUCCUGAAACCGUAUGCUUACAAAAAGUAGGAGCCUCGAAAGGGGUGACUGCGUACCUUUUGUAUAAUGGGUCAGCGACUUACAUUCAGUGGCAAGGUUAACCGAAUAGGGAAGCCGUAGAGAAAUCGAGUCCGAAUAGGGCGAAUUAGUCGCUGGGUGUAGACCCGAAACCAAGUGAUCUAUCCAUGGGCAGGAUGAAGGUGCCGUAACAGGUACUGGAGGUCCGAACCGACUAAUGUUGCAAAACUAGCGGAUGAGCUGUGGAUAGGGGUGAAAGGCUAAACAAACCUGGAGAUAGCUGGUUCUCUCCGAAAACUAUUUAGGUAGUGCCUCAAGUAUUACCAUCGGGGGUAGAGCACUGUUAUGGCUAGGGGGUCAUGGCGACUUACCAAACCAUUGCAAACUCCGAAUACCGAUGAGUACAGCUUGGGAGACAGUGCACCGGGUGCUAACGUCCGGACACAAGAGGGAAACAACCCAGACCGCCAGCUAAGGUCCCUAAUAUUGGCUAAGUGGGAAACGAAGUGGGAAGGCUAAAACAGUCAGGAUGUUGGCUUAGAAGCAGCCAUCAUUUAAAGAAAGCGUAAUAGCUCACUGAUCGAGUCGUCCUGCGCGGAAGAUGUAACGGGGCUAAGCCAGUAACCGAAGCUGCGGAUUUGCACGCAAGUGCAAGUGGUAGGAGAGCGUUCUGUACGCCUGUGAAGGUGGGUCGUGAGGCCUGCUGGAGGUAUCAGAAGUGCGAAUGCUGACAUGAGUAGCGUUAAAGGGGGUGAAAAGCCCCCUCGCCGAAAGCGCAAGGUUUCCUACGCAACGUUCAUCGGCGUAGGGUGAGUCGGCCCCUAAGGCGAGGCCGAAAUGCGUAGUCGAUGGGAAACAGGUCAAUAUUCCUGUACCGGUCGUAACUGCGAUGGGGUGACGGAGAAGGCUAGGUCAGCCACCUGUUGGACUAGGUGGUUUAAGCGUGUAGGGAGUGGGAUUAGGCAAAUCCGGUUCCACAAUUCUGAGACGUGAUGACGGAUUUUAUCUUCGGAUAAGAUGAAGUGAUUGAUGCCAGGCUUCCAAGAAAAACCUCUAAGCUUCAGGUUACGAGUGGCCGUACUGUAAACCGACACAGGUGGGUGGGAUGAGAAUUCUAAGGCGCUUGAGAGAACUCGGCUGAAGGAACUAGGCAAAAUGGUACCGUAACUUCGGGAUAAGGUACGCCUUUGUUAGGUGAAGUCCCUUGCGGAUGGAGCUGAGAAAGGUAGCAUAAAAUUGGUGGCUGCGACUGUUUAGCAAAAACAUAGCACUCUGCAAACUCGAAAGAGGAGGUAUAGGGUGUGACGCCUGCCCGGUGCUGGAAGGUUAAUUGAUGGGGUUAGCGUAAGCGAAGCUCUUGAUCGAAGCCCCAGUAAACGGCGGCCGUAACUAUAACGGUCCUAAGGUAGCGAAAUUCCUUGUCGGGUAAGUUCCGACCUGCACGAAUGGCGUAACGAUGGCCACACUGUCUCCAGCCGAGACUCAGUGAAAUUGAAAUUGCGGUGAAGAUGCCGUAUACCCGCGGCUAGACGGAAAGACCC